Molecule: ribosomal RNA, 406 nt
Filed under: uncultured bacterium
Lineage: Bacteria
Description: partial 16S ribosomal RNA
Rfam family: Bacterial small subunit ribosomal RNA
Source: RNAcentral
AUUGAACGCUGGCGGCAGGCCUAACACAUGCAAGUCGAACGCGUGGCGGACGGGUGAGUAAUGUCUGGGAAACUGCCUGAUGGAGGGGGAUAACUACUGGAAACGGUAGCUAAUACCGCAUACCAUCGGAUGUGCCCAGAUGUGAUUAGCUAGGAGGUGGGGUAAAGGAUCACCAAGGCGACGAUCCCUAGCUGGUCUGAGAGGAUGACCAGCCAAACUGGAACGAGGACACGGUCCAGACUCCUACGGGAGGCAGUAGUGGGGAAUAUUGCACAAUGGGCGCAAGCCUGAUGCAGCCAUGCCGCGUGUAUGAAGAAGGCCUUCGGGUUGUAAAGUACUUUCAGCGGGGAGGCGUUACCCGCAGAAGAAGCACCGGCUAACUCCGUGCCAGCAGCCGCGGUAAUUC